RNAcentral lists this ribosomal RNA (1407 nucleotides) under human gut metagenome. Its description in RNAcentral is "bacterial LSU rRNA". It matches the Rfam family "Bacterial large subunit ribosomal RNA", at positions 1070 to 2490 of the family's 2925-position model. The record is from RNAcentral.
AGGAUGUGGAAUUGCACAGACAACCAGGAUGUUGGCUUAGAAGCAGCCACUCAUUUAAAGAGUGCGUAAUAGCUCACUGGUCGAGUGAUUAUGCGCCGAAAAUAACCGGGGCUAAAAUCAGAUACCGAAGCUAAGGAUUAGUUUUACUAGUGGUAGGGGAGCAUUGUGUAAAGGGUGAAGCCGAAACGUAAGUAUCCGGUGGACGUUACACAAGAGAGAAUGCUGGCAUGAGUAGCGAGAGUAUAGUGAGAAUCUAUACCAUCGAAAACCUAAGGUUUCCCGGGCAAGGUUCGUCCCCCCGGGGUUAGUCGGGACCUAAGGCGAGGCCGAAAGGCGUAGUCGAUGGACAACUGGUUGAUAUUCCAGUACCGAAUAUGUUUGUUUGAGAGAUGGAGUGACACAGAAGGAUAAGUUAUCCCAGCUGUUGGAUAUGCUGGGUCAAGUAGUGAGGGUGUACGGUAGGCAAAUCCGCCGUGCAUAAGCCUGAGCUGUGAUGAGUACCGAAAUUUCAGUAGGGAAGUAACUGAUUUCACGCUGGCAAGAAAAGCUUCUAUCGAGAACAUGUUCGCCCGUACCGUAAACCGACACAGGUAGGUGAGGAGAGAAUCCUAAGAUGAGCGAGAGAAGUGUUGUUAAGGAACUCGGCAAAAUAACCCCGUAAGUUCGCGAGAAGGGGUCCCUGUGAGAGCAGGGCGCAGUGAAAAGGUCCAGGCGACUGUUUACCAAAAACACAGGUCUAUGCAAAAUCGAAAGAUGAAGUAUAUGGGCUGACGCCUGCCCGGUGCUGGAAGGUUAAGGGGAUCUGUUAGCGCAAGCGAAGCAGUGAACUUAAGCCCCAGUAAACGGCGGCCGUAACUAUAACGGUCCUAAGGUAGCGAAAUUCCUUGUCAGGUAAGUUCUGACCCGCACGAAAGGCGUAACGAUCUGGACACUGUCUCGACAACACACUCGGUGAAAUUGUAGUACCGGUAAAGAUGCCGGUUACCCGCGACCGGACGGAAAGACCCCGUAGAGCUUUACUAUAGCUUGGCACUGAAUUUCGGUAUUGUAUGUACAGGAUAGGUGGGAGACUUAGAAACUAGGACGCCAGUCUUGGUGGAGUCGUCCUUUGGAUACCACCCUUAUAAUGCUGGAAUUCUAACCUGAUACCGUAAUCCGGUAUAGGGACACUGUCAGGUGGGUAGUUUGACUGGGGCGGUCGCCUCCUAAAGAGUAGCGGAGGCGCCCAAAGGUUCCCUCAAAAUGGUUGGAAACCAUUUAUUAGAGUGUAAAGGCAGAAGGGAGCUUGACUGCGAGACAUACACGUCGAGCAGGUACGAAAGUAGGGCUUAGUGAUCCGGCGGUUCCGAGUGGAAGGGCCGUCGCUUAACGGAUAAAAGCUACCUCGGGGAUAACAGGCUUAUCUCC